This 1345-nucleotide long non-coding RNA is filed under the name Salmo salar (Atlantic salmon). Its description in RNAcentral is "lncRNA (ENSSSAG00000101095.1)". Lineage: Eukaryota; Metazoa; Chordata; Actinopteri; Salmoniformes; Salmonidae. The record is from RNAcentral.
CUCGAUCACAAACACAUUUUAACCGUUCUGAUUGGUCCCAGAAACCAAUGGGUUGGGCCAGAGCCAGAACACAUGUGGGUAAAGUGGCAUUUUGAACAUUGGUCAUUGGCUUUGAUUCUUCAAUUGGUUAGAGAUGAUCCAAUCGCUGAUUACUUUGUUUUGUACAACACCCCUCGUUUUGGCAGUCUCAGACUGAAGUAUGUAGCGAACACAGAGCAGUGGAAGAAUUAUUUGAAAUUGUCAGGCAAUAGUUUAUUCCCAUUAGUAGGCUACACCAGGACUAACCUCUUGACGCUAGCGGAGAGCAUCGACCAUGUCCCUGGCCGGUGGUUCCUGGUCCCCUAGCUGAUGCUGUCCCCCACGGCAUACCUCCACCCCCCCUGGACUUUGAGGGGUACGCUGUCAGAUCCCUACUGGACUCCCGACGUCGUGGGGGUUGGCUCCAGUACCUGGUGGACUGGGAGGGGUAUGGUCCAGAGGAGCAGUGUUGGGUUCCGGUGGAGGACAUUCUGGACCCCAACAUCAUUCGUGAUUUCCACCUUCGCCGCCCGGACCGACCCGCUUCCCAUCCUCGGUGUAGUCCCCCUGCUGGUGUUCGACCUGCGGCUAUUUUCAGGUCUCUGCAGAGAUGUUUGAUCCGGUUCAAGUCUGGGAUCUGGCUGGGCCACUCAAAGGCAUUCAGAGACUUGUCCUGAAGCCACUCCUGUGUUGUCUUGGCUGUGUGCUUAGGGUCAUUGUCCUGUUGGAAAGUGAACCUUCACCCCAGUCUUAGAUCCUGAGCGUUCUGGAGCAGGUUUUCAUCAAGGAUCUCUUUACUUUGCUCCGUUCAUCUUUGCCUCAAUCGUGACAAGUCUCCCAGUCCCUGCCGCUGAAAAACAUCCCCUCUCUCUAUCUCUUUCUCUUCAACAGUAAUGGAGCUGUUUUCUUCACACACAAAAUUAGAGUUAAUUUCUUGAGAUGAGUCAGUUUUCGUGGGUCUCUGACAUUCUCACAGACGGGCUGACAGCUUGUAAGAAAGAAAGAGAGAGACGAGAGAGGGCGAUAGAGAGAUAUACAGUACCAGCCAAAAGUUUGGACAAACUUACUCAUUCAAGGGUUUUUCUUUAUUUUUACUAUUUUCUACAUUGUAGAAUAAUAGUGAAGACAUUUACAUUUUAGUCAUUUAGCAGAUGCUCUUAUCCAGAGCGACUUACAAAUUGGUGCAUUCACCUUAUAAUAUCCAGUGGAACAACCACUUUACAAUAGUGCAUCUAAAUCUUUUAAGGGGGGGGUUAGAAGGAUUACUUUAUCCUAUCCCAGGUAUUCCUUGAAGAGGUGGGGUUUCAGGUGUCUCCGGAAGGUGGUG